RNAcentral lists this ribosomal RNA (570 nucleotides) under uncultured Pseudomonadota bacterium. RNAcentral describes it as "bacterial SSU rRNA". It matches the Rfam family "Bacterial small subunit ribosomal RNA", at positions 28 to 595 of the family's 1533-position model. Lineage: Bacteria; Pseudomonadati; Pseudomonadota. The record is from RNAcentral.
AUUGAACGCUGGCGGCAUGCCUUACACAUGCAAGUCGAACGGUAACGCGGGGCAACCUGGCGACGAGUGGCGAACGGGUGAGUAAUAUAUCGGAACGUGCCCAGUAAUGGGGGAUAGCCCGGCGAAAGCCGGAUUAAUACCGCAUACGACCUACGGGUGAAAGCAGGGGAUCGCAAGACCUUGCGUUAUUGGAGCGGCCGAUGUCAGAUUAGCUAGUUGGUGGGGUAAAUGCCUACCAAGGCGACGAUCUGUAGCUGGUCUGAGAGGACGACCAGCCACACUGGGACUGAGACACGGCCCAGACUCCUACGGGAGGCAGCAGUGGGGAAUUUUGGACAAUGGGCGCAAGCCUGAUCCAGCCAUGCCGCGUGCGGGAAGAAGGCCUUCGGGUUGUAAACCGCUUUUGUCAGGGAAGAAACGCUCUGGGUUAAUACCUCGGGGUAAUGACGGUACCUGAAGAAUAAGCACCGGCUAACUACGUGCCAGCAGCCGCGGUAAUACGUAGGGUGCAAGCGUUAAUCGGAAUUACUGGGCGUAAAGCGUGCGCAGGCGGUUAUGCAAGACAGAUGU